Molecule: long non-coding RNA, 694 nt
Organism: Oncorhynchus keta (chum salmon)
Lineage: Eukaryota; Metazoa; Chordata; Actinopteri; Salmoniformes; Salmonidae
Exons: 4
Source: RefSeq, a predicted model, not a curated record
CAGUAUUCACUAGGUCUGUCCUCUCAGAGCAGUAUUCACUAGGUCUGUCCUCUCAGAGGAGCAGUAUUCACUAGGUCUGUCCUCUCAGAGCAGUAUUCACUAGGUCUGUCCUCUCAGAGGAGCAGUAUUCACUAGGUCUGUCCUCUCAGAGCAGUAUUCACUAGGUCUGUCCUCUCAGAGCAGUAUUCACUAGGUCUGUCCUCUCAGAGGAGCAGUAUUCACUAGGUCUGUCCUCUCAGAGCAGUAUUCACUAGGUCUGUCCUCUCAGAGCAGUAUUCACUAGGUCUGUCCUCUCAGAGGAGCAGUAUUCACUAGGUCUGUCCUCUCAGAGGAGCAGUAUUCACUAGGUCUGUCCUCUCAGAGCAGUAUUCACUAGGUCUGUCCUCUCAGAGGAGCAGUAUUCACUAGGUCUGUUCUCUCAGAGGAGCAGUAUUCACUAGGUCUGUCCUCUCAGAGCAGUAUUCACUAGGUCUGUCCUCUCAGAGGAGUAGUAUUCACUAGGUCUGUCCUCUCAGAGGAGCAGUAUUCACUAGGUCUGUCCUCUCAGAGGAGCAGUAUUCACUAGGUCUGUCCUCUCAGAGGAGCAGUAUUCACUAGGUCUGUCCUCUCAGAGGAGCAGUAUUCACUAGGUCUGUCCUCUCAGAGGAGCAGUAUUCACUAGGUCUGUCCUCUCAGAGGAGCAGUAUUCACUAGG